UACGUAGGGACCAAGCGUUGUUCGGAUUUACUGGGCGUAAAGGGCGCGUAGGCGGCAUGACAAGUCACUUGUGAAAUCUCUGAGCUUAACUCAGAACGGCCAAGUGAUACUGCAGUGCUAGAGUGUGGAAGGGGCAAUCGGAAUUCUUGGUGUAGCGGUGAAAUGCGUAGAUAUCAAGAGGAACACCUGAGGUGAAGACGGGUUGCUGGGCCAACACUGACGCUGAGGCGCGAAAGCCAGGGGAGCAAACGGG
Molecule: ribosomal RNA, 253 nt
Filed under: uncultured bacterium
Lineage: Bacteria
Description: partial 16S ribosomal RNA
Rfam family: Bacterial small subunit ribosomal RNA
Source: RNAcentral